RNAcentral lists this ribosomal RNA (232 nucleotides) under uncultured bacterium. Its description in RNAcentral is "partial 16S ribosomal RNA". It matches the Rfam family "Bacterial small subunit ribosomal RNA", at positions 99 to 334 of the family's 1533-position model. The record is from RNAcentral.
CGGACGGGUGAGUAAUGUCUGGGAAACUGCCCGAUGGAGGGGGAUAACUACUGGAAACGGUAGCUAAUACCGCAUAAUGUCUACGGACCAAAGCGGGGGACCUCCGGGCCUCGCGCCAUCAGAUGAACCCAUAUGGGAUUAGCUAGUAGGUGGGGUAACGGCUCACCUAGGCGACGAUCCCUAGCUGGUCUGAGAGGAUGACCAGCCACACUGGAACUGAGACACGGUCCAG